GCCUUUAGGGAAAAACACUGGUCAUAUCAUGACUGUUUUACUAGCUGUGAGGCCACCAUUGUACUGACUACCGUAACAUUUCUUGGUUUUCUUUCUAGACCUGAACUAGUUAUUUCCUACUUGCCUCCUGGAAUGGCUAAUAAACACUAAAGCUUCGCAGUUUCUGAAAAGAUCAUGAAGCUUUGAGAGUAAUGAAAAGCUUCCUGACAUUGAGGUCACUGUGGAAGAACCACCUAAGCUGAAGAUGCCUUUGAGAACAAGGGCAAGCCUGUGAUUUCAUGGCCUUUCUUCCAUUUGUGGUUCUUGCCAAGUGGAAUUUAAGUGACCUCUUAUCAAGAUGGAUAAACCCAAGUUUCCCAGUGCCAGAAUACAGAAAAUGGAUGGACAACUGAAUCUACCGUGAAAGACUUCAGAGACCAGGAAGAGAGACUGACUGGGCAACAUCUUAUUCAGGUACGAAAAGACUUGGACUAUGACUCAAAAAUGGUCAAAUAACAGUACAUGCAUCAAGUGCAAUGGGAAGCUCUUCCGGAGGGUGAGAGAAGCUUCCAGUUAAGGUGACAUUGAAGCCAGGUCCUGAAAGAUGAG
Long non-coding RNA from Piliocolobus tephrosceles (Ugandan red Colobus), 588 nucleotides. Lineage: Eukaryota; Metazoa; Chordata; Mammalia; Primates; Cercopithecidae. The record is from Ensembl.